AGGACGAACGCUGGCGGCGUGCCUAACACAUGCAAGUCGAACGAGGCUUAUCCGGUAGCAAUACCGGAGACUGCCUAGUGGCGAACGGGUGAGUAGCACGUGAGCAACCUGCCCCGAAGACUGGGAUAACACCGGGAAACCGGUGCUAAUACCAGAUGCCCCCACCGGAUCGCAUGAUCUGGUGAGGAAAUGGAUUCCGCUUCGGGAGGGGCUCGCGGCCUAUCAGCUAGUUGGUGAGGUAACGGCUCACCAAGGCUUCGACGGGUAGCUGGUCUGAGAGGACGAUCAGCCACACUGGGACUGAGACACGGCCCAGACUCCUACGGGAGGCAGCAGUGGGGAAUCUUGCACAAUGGGCGAAAGCCUGAUGCAGCAACGCCGCGUGAGGGACGAAGGCUUUCUGAGUUGUAAACCUCUUUCAGCAGGGACGAUUGUGACGGUACUGCAGAAGAACGCCCGGCCAACUACGUGCCAGCAGCCG
This 481-nucleotide ribosomal RNA is filed under the name uncultured bacterium. RNAcentral's name for it is "SSU rRNA". It matches the Rfam family "Bacterial small subunit ribosomal RNA", at positions 26 to 517 of the family's 1533-position model. The record is from RNAcentral.